GGAAGAGAUGGGGACUGGUGUCCCCGGCGGUCUUCAAAACCGUAGGCAGGCGGAUAAUACCGUCUGUGGUGGGUUCGAUUCCUGCCUCUUCCGCCA
This 96-nucleotide transfer RNA is filed under the name Elusimicrobia bacterium RIFOXYB2_FULL_49_7. RNAcentral's name for it is "tRNA-Sec". It matches the Rfam family "Selenocysteine transfer RNA". The record is from RNAcentral. Lineage: Bacteria; Pseudomonadati; Elusimicrobiota.